Molecule: long non-coding RNA, 2069 nt
Filed under: Arachis ipaensis
Lineage: Eukaryota; Viridiplantae; Streptophyta; Magnoliopsida; Fabales; Fabaceae
Description: long non-coding RNA (AIPA_LNC002180)
Source: RNAcentral
CUGCUGUUGCUGCGUUGUGUGUUCAAUAUGAAGCUGAUUUUAGACCAAACAUGAGCAUUGUAGUCAAAGCUCUUCAACCUUUGUUGACGGCACGACAGGGACCUCCUGGUGAAACACCAAAUUAAUCUCUGUCUCUGUCUCUGCCUCUCUCUCUCUCUGAGUAUGUGCGCGAGUGUCAUGCAAAAAUUAUAAGAGAUUGCUACAGGAGGCGAUGGUAAAUUGUUCGAACAUGAUUUGUGCCCAGUGUUUACAUUAUAUUCAUUUUGUUCAUAAUUCAUGAGGUUCUUUUUAACGUUUCCACGUUUCAUCUAUUCUUUUUAGUGUUACUUGAUUUCUUGUUUUACAUUAUGUUUUCCAUUUUUUGGAUUAAUUCUCUUAUUAUUCUUUUUUUUUUCAUCUAACUAGAGUGUGGCCAUUAAGAAAUUGUUUAUGUUCUAAAUUUAAAACUAAGAAAUAGAAGUAAAUAUUUUUGAGGAUAGCAUCACUCAUGACUGAGAAAACAAACGUGCUUACAUAGACAUAAGAAGUUAGCAUUCAAAGAAAGGCAUGUAAUGUUAUUUUUAUUUUUAUUAAGUAUUAUUAUCUAUGAUUUGAAAAAUUUGUUUAACAAUUUGCAAUAUCUACAUUUGAUAACAUAUUUGCUUGUUAUUAAAUUAAUUUGUAUUCUACACGGGGUGACAGAUUUGAUAGUUGAUUUAUUUUUUAGAUUUUUUUGUAUAUAUAACAUGGUUGAUGGUCAUAGUAUAAACAAAUUAUAGAAUAAUAUAUAUUUUAGUGUGUUAUAAAAAUUAUUAAAACUUUAUGGUACAUGUUAUGAUAAAUAAGUUUACACUUAUUACUGCACUUAUAACAGCAGCAAACUAUUAAUUGUAGUAAAAUUAGCAUUAUCUGUGCGUUAUUGAGCUAUUCUUUAUUGACUUAUUCAUUUUAACAUUUUAAUCCAACUCAAAAGUGGUUUUUUUUUAUAAAUGUUUUAAUCAGUAAAUAUUUUAUUGGCCAAAAUAUUUUUUUUUGGUUAUCCACAGUAUUUCCUAAUCUGACAGACUAAAGACUAAUCUGUCGCGGAUCGGAAUUCUAUUUAAGGAUUUGUCGCUGGGUAAUGAGUUGCUGAAUGCAUAAAAAAUUGUAUAUAUAAAAUUCUAUAUGUUUGUGUCAGCCCCACAGUAAACAAAAGAAAAAGUAAACAACAGUGAAAAGAAAAAAGGAAGAAAAUGCAGAGUUUGAACCUCUUUACUGUAAUCUAUUGUACUCUUUUCCAAUAAAUUUUGAAUGUAGGCUAUGCAGCUUAUCAUAGCAACUUGUAUUUCAGGCUACACCAAGACUUAGCGAGGAUAAAGUCAAGCAGUGUGUUGAUCCGAAACUUGGAGCAGAAUAUCCACCCAAAGCAAUUGCUAAGGUGUUAAUCACUUAAUCUAUUUAAGUAUAUCUUUCUCUUCCUUUUCACCUUUAUAUGCCCUUUCUGAGCUAGGGUGGUGUUGAUGUUUGUGGAAGUGUUUUAUGACAUAUGUUUACUUGAAAUAUAUGUUUAUGAAUUCGGAAACUAUGCAAAAGAAGCUUGUUAGAGGCAGUUACAGAAUUAUUUUAUUGUUGCUGAAGUAGAGCAGAUCUAGCUAUUCUGCUUUUGCCCAAAAUUUGAAUAUAAAAUUUUGUUAUGAUCUCUUUUAGGGGGAAAUUUGUUGAAUAUAAAUCAAUAUAUACGUAGUUUAGUUUUAAGAUUCAUCAUCAGGGGUAUUUAUUACACUAGAAGAAGACAUGUGCCCUCCAACUAUUUUACACAAGAAAAUAUUUAUGUAUAACAGCAUGGUGCUUGUCUCAUUGUAGAUGGCUGCUGUUGCUGCGUUGUGUGUUCAAUAUGAAGCUGAUUUUAGACCAAACAUGAGCAUUGUAGUCAAAGCUCUUCAACCUUUGUUGACGGCACGACAGGGACCUCCUGGUGAAACACCAAAUUAAUCUCUGUCUCUGUCUCUGCCUCUCUCUCUCUCUGAGUAUGUGCGCGAGUGUCAUGCAAAAAUUAUAAGAGAUUGCUACAGGAGGCGAUGGUAAAUUGUUCGAACAUGAUUUGUGCCCAG